This 83-nucleotide transfer RNA is filed under the name Schistocephalus solidus. It matches the Rfam family "tRNA". From Rfam's summary of the family: Transfer RNA (tRNA) molecules are approximately 80 nucleotides in length. Their secondary structure includes four short double-helical elements and three loops (D, anti-codon, and T loops). The record is from Rfam by way of RNAcentral. Lineage: Eukaryota; Metazoa; Platyhelminthes; Cestoda; Diphyllobothriidea; Diphyllobothriidae.
GGCCUCGUAGCUCAGAUAGCCAAAGCGUUGGCUGAAUCUAAGCCUUCCCCUUGCUGGCGUGAGUUCGAAUCCCACCGAGGCUG